Molecule: unclassified non-coding RNA, 424 nt
Filed under: uncultured fungus
Lineage: Eukaryota; Fungi
Description: sequence contains ITS1, 5.8S rRNA gene, ITS2
Rfam family: 5.8S ribosomal RNA (bases 116-271)
Source: RNAcentral
CUGCGAACCAUCAUUCUCGGUUUCGCAUCAAUCAAACCUGUGUUUUGUUAACCCGACAUGUGCAUCUUCGGGUGCACCUAUUUAUUUACGCACAUAGUAACGCAAAAGAUUACACAACUGUUAGCAACGGAUCACUCGGUUCUCGUGUCGAUGAAGAGCGCAGCAAAGUGCGAAAAGUCGCGUGACAUGCACUGGUCGUGAAUCAUCGAGUUCUUGAACGCAGCUUGCGCCGCAGCCUGUGUAGGGAUGCGGCAUGCCUGUUUGAGCGUUGUCUUCUCGUCUGUCUCGCCACGCGGUGGACAGGAGCAUGGGUGUGCCUGGGCACGCCUGAAAUCGGUGGACGGUGCGUUCUGCGAAUGUGCGAGCGCACGCCGUCGUGCAAACCACCAACCUCAAAUCAGGCAGGAAGACCCGCUGGACUUAG